CAAAAGGUUUUUUUCAAAACCACAUAGUUUACAUUUGACAAUUGUAU
Aedes aegypti (yellow fever mosquito) is the source of this 47-nucleotide non-coding RNA. NCBI's taxonomy places the organism in Eukaryota, Metazoa, Arthropoda, Insecta, Diptera, Culicidae. The record is from Rfam.